UCAAGAUAAUAAGGGCGUACGGGGGAUGCCUUGGUGCCAGGAGGCGAAGAAGGACGUGGCAAGCUGCGAUAAGCUACGGGGAGCUGCAAGCGAGCAUAGAUCCGUAGAUAUCCGAAUGGGGGAACCCAGCAGAGGCGAACCUCUGCUACCCACACCUGAAUCCAUAGGGUGUGAGGGGCCAGACCCGGUGAACUGAAACAUCUUAGUAACCGGAGGAAAAGAAAUCAAAAGAGAUUCCCCAAGUAGCGGCGAGCGAACGGGGAGAAGCCCAAACCGGCUGUGUGUGAUAGCCUGCAAGCGUUGCGCAGCCGGGGUUGCGGGGAACACAGAAGUGAGUUGCAGAUCACUUAAGGAGUUACAAACCAUAUCGUUAGCUGAACCUGGAUGGAAAGCCGGGCCACAGAGAGUGAAAGCCUCGUAAGCGAAAAUGAUAUGGCUCCUGGUGUAAACCCCGAGUACCGCCGGGCACGUGGAACCUGGUGGGAAGCAGGGAGGACCACCUUCCAAGGCUAAAUACUACCUGGCAACCGAUAGCGAAUAGUACCGUGAGGGAAAGGUGAAAAGCACCCCGGGAGGGGAGUGAAAGAGAACCUGAAACCGUAUGCCUACAAGCAGUCAGAGCACUAUUUAUAGUGUGAUGGCGUACCUUUUGUAGAAUGGGCCAGCGAGUUACGGCAGCAAGCGAGGUUAAGCCAAGAAGGGCGGAGCCGGAGCGAAAGCGAGUCUAAAAAGGGCGGUUUAGUUUGUUGCUGUAGACCCGAAACCGGGUGAUCUAUCCAUGGCCAGGGUGAAGCGAUGUUAACACGUCGUGGAGGCCCGAACCAGAGUGCGUUGAAAAGUGCGUGGAUGAGCUGUGGAUAGGGGUGAAAUGCUAAUCGAACUCGGAGAUAGCUGGUUCUCCCCGAAAUAGCUUUAGGGCUAGCGUCGAGUGAUUCCUUAUGGGGGUAGAGCACUGGUUAGGCUAGGGGCCUUACCCGGUUACCGAACCUUCCCAAACUCCGAAUACCAUAAGGCAAAGCUCGGCAGUCAGACUGCGGGUGAUAAGGUCCGUAGUCGAGAGGGAAACAGCCCAGACCAACAGCUAAGGUCCCAAAAUCUAUGCUAAGUGGAAAAGGAGGUAGAGUCGCCCAGACAGCCAGGAUGUUGGCUUAGAAGCAGCCAUCAUUCAAAGAGUGCGUAAUAGCUCACUGGUCAAGUGACUCUGCGCCGAAAAUUCAACGGGGCUAAGCAUAGUACCGAAGCUUUGGGAUUGAGAAGUGAGAUGUGGGAAGUUAAAUGAGAUGUGAGAAGUGCGAAGUUAGAAGUGAGACACUUAGAGAAUCACAAAUCAACAUCUCAUUAGCCGAAACAAUGAGAGUGAAGGUAGCAGAAUGGGGAUAGAAAUCCCUCAUCUAACCUCUCACAUCUCACUUCUCAAUCGGUAGGGGAGCGUACCUGGCGGGUAGAAGCCGUACCGGAAGGAGCGGUGGACUGCCAGGUAGAGAGAAUGCUGGCAUAAGUAAGCGAGAAGGCAGGUGAGAAUCCUGCCCGCCGGAAGCCUAAGGAUUCCUGGGGAAGGCUCGUCCGCCCAGGGUAAGCCGGGACCUAACCCGAGGCCGAAAGGCGUAGGGGAUGGAUAACUGGUUGAGAUUCCAGUGCCACCGGACAUCCGUUUGAGCGAUGGGGUGACGCAGGAGGAUAGGUGAAGCGCACGGCUGGAAGAGUGCGUCCAAGCACGUAGGGUGUAAGAUAGGCAAAUCCGUCUUACGAAGGCCUGAGGUGUGAUGGGGAGUGAAAUUAAGUAGCGAAGUCAUUGAUUCCAAACUGCCAAGAAAAGCCUCUAGCGAGGAUGUUGGUGCCCGUACCGCAAACCGACACAGGUAGGCAAGGAGAGAAUCCUAAGGCGCGCGAGAGAACCCUCGUUAAGGAACUCGGCAAAAUGACCCCGUAACUUAGGGAGAAGGGGUGCUCUGUUAGCGUGAGUCAUGAACAUUGAUGAGCGUGAGGGAGCCGCAGUGAACAGGCCCAGGCGACUGUUUAGCAAAAACACAGGUCUCUGCGAAAUCGAAAGAUGAAGUAUAGAGGCUGACGCCUGCCCGGUGCCGGAAGGUUAAGGGGAAAGGUUAGCGCAAGCGAAGCUUUGAACCGAAGCCCCGGUGAACGGCGGCCGUAACUAUAACGGUCCUAAGGUAGCGAAAUUCCUUGUC
This 2186-nucleotide ribosomal RNA is filed under the name anaerobic digester metagenome. RNAcentral describes it as "bacterial LSU rRNA". It matches the Rfam family "Bacterial large subunit ribosomal RNA", at positions 3 to 1973 of the family's 2925-position model. The record is from RNAcentral.